GGUCGCAUGGCUCAGUUGGUAGAGCACAUCGUUCACAUCGAUGGGGUCACAGGUUCGAGUCCUGUUGCGACCA
RNAcentral lists this transfer RNA (73 nucleotides) under Clostridiales bacterium. Its description in RNAcentral is "tRNA-Val". It matches the Rfam family "tRNA". From Rfam's summary of the family: Transfer RNA (tRNA) molecules are approximately 80 nucleotides in length. Lineage: Bacteria; Bacillati; Bacillota; Clostridia; Eubacteriales. The record is from RNAcentral. RNAcentral also lists the same sequence under 6 other names.